ACGGGUGAGUAAUGCCUAGGAAUCUGCCUGGUAGUGGGGGACAACGUUUCGAAAGGAACGCUAAUACCGCAUACGUCCUACGGGAGAAAGCAGGGGACCUUCGGGCCUUGCGCUAUCAGAUGAGCCUAGGUCGGAUUAGCUAGUUGGUGGGGUAAUGGCUCACCAAGGCGACGAUCCGUAACUGGUCUGAGAGGAUGAUCAGUCACACUGGAACUGAGACACGGUCCAGACUCCUACGGGAGGCAGCAGUGGGGAAUAUUGGACAAUGGGCGAAAGCCUGAUCCAGCCAUGCCGCGUGUGUGAAGAAGGUCUUCGGAUUGUAAAGCACUUUAAGUUGGGAGGAAGGGCAGUAAGUUAAUACCUUGCUGUUUUGACGUUACCGACAGAAUAAGCACCGGCUAACUCUGUGCCAGCAGCCGCGGUAAUACAGAGGGUGCAAGCGUUAAUCGGAAUUACUGGGCGUAAAGCGCGCGUAGGUGGUUCGUUAAGUUGGAUGUGAAAUCCCCGGGCUCAACCUGGGAACUGCAUCCAAAACUGGCGAGCUAGAGUAGGGCAGAGGGUGGUGGAAUUUCCUGUGUAGCGGUG
RNAcentral lists this ribosomal RNA (585 nucleotides) under Pseudomonas sp. StFRB124. Its description in RNAcentral is "bacterial SSU rRNA". It matches the Rfam family "Bacterial small subunit ribosomal RNA", at positions 102 to 683 of the family's 1533-position model. The record is from RNAcentral. Lineage: Bacteria; Pseudomonadati; Pseudomonadota; Gammaproteobacteria; Pseudomonadales; Pseudomonadaceae.